This 211-nucleotide non-coding RNA is filed under the name Clostridiales bacterium. Its description in RNAcentral is "T-box sequence". It matches the Rfam family "T-box leader". From Rfam's summary of the family: Uncharged tRNA acts as the effector for transcription antitermination of genes in the T-box leader family. T-boxes are found upstream of many aminoacyl-tRNA synthetase genes and some amino acid biosynthetic genes usually in Gram-positive bacteria. The anticodon of a specific tRNA base pairs to a specifier sequence within the T-box motif, and the NCCA acceptor tail of the tRNA base pairs to a conserved bulge in the T-box antiterminator hairpin. The record is from RNAcentral. Lineage: Bacteria; Bacillati; Bacillota; Clostridia; Eubacteriales.
UAAAACUCAAGGAAUAAGAGAGUAGUUAUCGACCAAGUCAAAGCGAGCUGAUGAGGGUGAGAGAUCAGUACAGCGGUAGAUAAUGAAGCGCACUUAGGAGAGGGAUAUUUGAACUCAAGUAGAAUAUCCGGUGAGCUAGCCUUAAUAGCGAGAGUGGAUGCAGGUCAACUGACAUCAACUGGAGUGGUAACGCGGAUUAUUCGUCUCCUGG